UAUUGCACAAUGGGGGAAACCCUGAUGCAGCGACGCCGCGUGAAGGAAGAAGGCUUUCGGGUUGUAAACUUCUUUUGUCAGGGACGAAGCAAGUGACGGUACCUGACGAAUAAGCCACGGCUAACUACGUGCCAGCAGCCGCGGUAAUACGUAGGUGGCAAGCGUUAUCCGGAUUUACUGGGUGUAAAGGGCGUGUAGGCGGGGAAGCAAGUCAGAUGUGAAAACCACGGGCUCAACCUGUGGCCUGCAUUUGAAACUGUUUUUCUUGAGUGCUGGAGAGGCAAUCGGAAUUCCGUGUGUAGCGGUGAAAUGCGUAGAUAUACGGAGGAACACCAGUGGCGAAGGCGGAUUGCUGGACAGUAACUGACGCUGAGGCGCGAAAGCGUGGGGAGCAAACAG
This 399-nucleotide ribosomal RNA is filed under the name uncultured bacterium. RNAcentral's name for it is "bacterial SSU rRNA". It matches the Rfam family "Bacterial small subunit ribosomal RNA", at positions 362 to 775 of the family's 1533-position model. The record is from RNAcentral.